Molecule: transfer RNA, 68 nt
Filed under: Marmota monax (woodchuck)
Lineage: Eukaryota; Metazoa; Chordata; Mammalia; Rodentia; Sciuridae
Description: tRNA.Ala
Source: RNAcentral
GGAUUGUGGCUCAGCGGUAGACCACUUGCCUAGCAUGUGCAAGGCCCUGGGUUCCAUCCUCAGCACCA